CCUACGGGUGGCAGCAGUAGGGAAUCUUUCACAAUGGGCGAAAGCCUGAUGGAGCAACGCCGCGUGCAGGAUGAAGGCCUUCGGGUUGUAAACUGCUUUUAUAAGCGAGAAAUAUGAUGGUAACUUAUGAAUAAGGAUCGGCUAACUACGUGCCAGCAGCCGCGGUCAUACGUAGGAUCCGAGCAUUAUCCGGAGUGACUGGGUGUAAAGGGAGCGUAGACGGCCAUGCAAGCCAGGGGUGAAAGCCCGGGGCCCAACCCCGGGACUGCCCUUGGAACUGCAUGGCUGGAGUGCGGGAGGGGCAGGCGGAAUUCCUGGUGUAGCGGUGAAAUGCGUAGAUAUCAGGAGGAACACCGGCGGCGAAGGCGGCCUGCUGGACUGCGACUGACGUUGAGGCUCGAAAGCGUGGGGAGCGAACAGGAUUAGAUACCCUAGUAGUC
This 440-nucleotide ribosomal RNA is filed under the name uncultured bacterium. RNAcentral describes it as "partial 16S ribosomal RNA". It matches the Rfam family "Bacterial small subunit ribosomal RNA", at positions 338 to 795 of the family's 1533-position model. The record is from RNAcentral.